CAGUUGUUUGUCAGCAGUAAAGACUCGAUAGAUAUGCGUGCUUCUUCUGUCGUGAUUUUGCUACGGUGGAAAAUAACAUCCAAAAACCUGGCAGCAGCGGGGUCUUAUGACCCUAAGAAGGGAUCCCAAAUUUGUGCCGGGGCAUGGAAAGUGGAACACAGCCGCAACCGUGAGCUAUUACAAUUUUGUGGACUACAUGAAAAGAAGUUAUUAAAAAGUUUGGGAGCGGAUAACUAUUGUAAUUGACUGACUGACCGUAUAAUAAUCCAUACCUUCCCUUUUGCAUCUUAUUGUCUGCGAUGGAAAUGCCAAGAAGAAAAAGUGAGGAACCUGGGGGAAAAACUUUGUUAAUUUUCGAGCAGCUCACGCAAUAAAGCAAGCGCAGGCAGCGCAUCACGUGCGCAUUUAAGUUGCAAGUUACAACGGCAACGUGCCGCAUCCAAAGAUACACAGAUACCGUGCAGCGUGCUCCGUACCCCCGGUGAAACACACACAGAUACUCGCACUCACACCGGCAUACAUAAACACAGGACUAGUUAGCUCAUGUCAGUGUAAAUUUUACACACAGGCGAAACCUGAUGCCGCAUACAAAAACCCAGGCGAGCGGAGCUCCUCACCUUUUUGCGGUUUAUAUUCAAGCGCGCGUGUGCAAUAAAAAGAUAUACCCAUCCCGAGCCGGCAUAACGGAAGUCGAGGCAAGUUUUUGGCAUCCACGGCGGAUGCAGGCGGCCCCCGGGAAAGUGGAAAGCGGGAAAACACAUAGCUGGCUGCGCUGCAUAAUCAGGCAAAGGCGACGGCGACAACGACAACAUUUAUCAAAUGAAAUGCACGUGCCAAGCGUUUGCCUGGCCCGCUUCCGUGGGCCGUCUCCCCGGCCGGGAUGAGGUCCUCCUCGGAGGUGCCACGGCUCCGGGGCCAGCUUGUGCACGAGGUGUGCCAGAGAAGUUGUGCUGGGUUCCCCUGGGAAUUGCCCCUCAGAAUAUUUAUGGGAUGUUUAAGAAGUCCCUGGAGACUUGGAAUCACUUAAGAGGGUGAACGAAAGUGUUUUAUUUACCAGUAGCAAAAUAAACUAUUUAAAAAAUGUAGAAAAUAUGCAUGCCUACCAAUAUAAAUAACAGAAUUCCACUAUCAAAUCCAACUGUCUUAAUUUUUAGUAAUACUUUUCCCCUAAUUAAUAAUGCUCUUUUCUCAACAUUUCCCCCUACCUUA
Drosophila biarmipes is the source of this 1209-nucleotide long non-coding RNA. RefSeq lists it as uncharacterized. The transcript has 3 exons. The record is from RefSeq and is a predicted model, not a curated record. Lineage: Eukaryota; Metazoa; Arthropoda; Insecta; Diptera; Drosophilidae.